AUAACUCGAUAAUCCACGCAUACACAACCUUCUCUCGAUAAUACAGCUUGUGUACUGCCGUUGUAAGCAUACCUCUAAAAGAUUAAGUAUGCCACUAUGAAUGUAUAUCUCAUAUACAUCAGGUCAAAGUGCAGCCUAUAAGAAGGUGAUGAUGGGUUACAACCUAAAAACAGAUAUCAACUAAAAAUGAAAAAUCUUACAAAAGCGGACUUGGCUGUAAUUAAUUUACAAGUUAAAAUAAUGAAUAAAAAUCUAAGGCAUGUACACAUCGCCCGUCACUCUAUCCCAAAGGAUAGAUAAGUCGUAACAAAGUAGGUGUAAUGGAAAUUGCCCCUGUCGAGGUAUAGCAUAUAAAAUGCUUUUUACUUACACUAAAAAUAAAGUCAAUAACUUACUUCGCUUAAAAAAAUAUUAUCUUAAUAACUAUUAACAAUAAAAACAACUAAUAACACAAAAAUAAAGUACAGAAAUGGAAAUAAUAAUAAAUAAAAGUAAUUCUUAACAAUUGUACCUUGUGCAUUAUGGUUUUACAAGAACAUAAUUAAAAAUAAAAAUCCCGAAUUCUAAAUGAGAUGUUAAACUGCUGUUAAGAACCCACUAUUAACUGUAGAAAAAGCUUUAAAAGACAGUUUAACAGAGGCUACAUACCAUACGCAUAAGAAUAUAGCUGGUUUUCAACAAACAUUAUACAUUAAAACAUAUAAUUAUAUUAUAGUGUAAUAUUAUUGAGGACAAGCCCAAUAAUACAAGUAAUAAAAAUAUAAAACCUAACCAAUUACAUAGGCCUAAAACCAGCCAAUUAAAAUACUUUACCGUACCAAAUACAGGCAAAAUUGAUAUAUUAACAUACUAAAUAAAGUUGAAAUAGUAGAUAAACUACCCAAUCCACUUAUACUAUGUAAAAAUAAGUAUUACAAAAAUAAUAAAAAAUAAUACAAGAAAAAACAACACAUAAUUAAUAAUAAUUAAUUAAGGAACUCGGCAAAUAAUCAUUUCGACUGUUUAACAAAAACAUUGUCUCAUGGACUACAUAUGAGAUAGAUCCUGCCCCGUU
Molecule: ribosomal RNA, 1054 nt
Filed under: Amynthas sp. YN201105-01
Lineage: Eukaryota; Metazoa; Annelida; Clitellata; Crassiclitellata; Megascolecidae
Description: partial 12S ribosomal RNA
Source: RNAcentral